Molecule: ribosomal RNA, 513 nt
Filed under: uncultured bacterium
Lineage: Bacteria
Description: partial 16S ribosomal RNA
Rfam family: Bacterial small subunit ribosomal RNA
Source: RNAcentral
ACUCAAAUGAAUAGACGGGGACUUGCACAAGCGGUGGAACAUGUGGUUCAAUUCGACGCUAAACGAAGAACCUUACCAGGGUUAGAAAUCCAUUCGAAGACUGGCAGAAACGUCAGUCGCCGCAAGGCGGAUGGACAGGUGCUGCAUGGCUGUCGUCAGUUCGUGGUUUGAACUGUUCCCUUCAGUGGGGUAACGAACGCAACCCCUGUUGCCUGUUACAAGUGUCAGGCGAGACCGCCCAGCCCAGAGAAUGCAAGAAUUGUAUUUUCCGGGCUGGGAGGAAGGUGGGGAUGACGCCAAGUCAGCAUGGCCCUCUGAUACCCUGGGCUACACACGUGUUACAAUGCACGGUACAACGGGACGCAAUAUCGUAAGAUGGAGCAAACCCUUAUAAAGCCGUGCUCAGUUCGGAUUGAGGUCUGCAACUCGACCUCAUGAAGCUGGAAUCGCUAGUAAUCGCAGGUCAGCUAUACUGCGGUGAAUACGUUCUCAAGUCUUGUACACACCGCCCGU